GUGGUAAUGCCGGAUGUUCCAGUUGAUCGCAUGGUCUUCUGGGAAAGCUUUCGCGGUAUGGGAUGGGGUCGCGUCCUAUCAGCUUGACGGCGGGGUAACGGCCCACCGUGGCUUCGACGGGUAGCCGGCCUGAGAGGGCGACCGGCCACAUUGGGACUGAGAUACGGCCCAGACUCCUACGGGAGGCAGCAGUGGGGAAUAUUGCACAAUGGGCGCAAGCCUGAUGCAGCGACGCCGCGUGAGGGAUGGAGGCCUUCGGGUUGUAAACCUCUUUUAUCGGGGAGCAAGCGUGAGUGAGUUUACCCGUUGAAUAAGCACCGGCUAACUACGUGCCAGCAGCCGCGGUAAUACGUAGGGUGCAAGCGUUAUCCGGAAUUAUUGGGCGUAAAGGGCUCGUAGGCGGUUCGUCGCGUCCGGUGUGAAAGUCCAUCGCUUAACGGUGGAUCCGCGCCGGGUACGGGCGGGCUUGAGUGCGGUAGGGGAGACUGGAAUUCCCGGUGUAACGGUGGAAUGUGUAGAUAUCGGGAAAGAACACCA
Molecule: ribosomal RNA, 537 nt
Filed under: Bifidobacterium longum subsp. infantis
Lineage: Bacteria; Bacillati; Actinomycetota; Actinomycetes; Bifidobacteriales; Bifidobacteriaceae
Description: bacterial SSU rRNA
Rfam family: Bacterial small subunit ribosomal RNA
Source: RNAcentral